RNAcentral lists this ribosomal RNA (782 nucleotides) under uncultured bacterium. Its description in RNAcentral is "bacterial SSU rRNA". It matches the Rfam family "Bacterial small subunit ribosomal RNA", at positions 8 to 796 of the family's 1533-position model. The record is from RNAcentral.
AGAGUUUGAUCAUGGCUCAGAACGAACGCUGGCGGCACGCUUAACACAUGCAAGUCGAACGAAGCUUCUACUUCGGUAGAAUGACUGAGUGGCGGACGGGUGAGUAACGCGUGGGUAUCUGCCUUUUGGUGGGGGAUAACUGGGGGAAACUCCAGCUAAUACCGCAUACGCCCUUCGGGGGAAAGAAUUUAUUCGCCAUAAGAGGAGCCCGCGUAAGAUUAGGUAGUUGGUGGGGUAAAGGCCUACCAAGCCGAUGAUCUUUAGCUGGUUUGAGAGGAUGAUCAGCCACACUGGGACUGAGACACGGCCCAGACUCCUACGGGAGGCAGCAGUGGGGAAUCUUGGACAAUGGGGGAAACCCUGACGCAGCCACGCCGCGUGGGUGAAGAAGGCCUUCGGGUCGUAAAGCCCUGUCAGGUGGGAAGAAACGCAUUGGACUGAAUAAGUCCGUUGCCUGACGGUACCACCAAAGGAAGCACCGGCUAACUCCGUGCCAGCAGCCGCGGUAAUACGGAGGGUGCAAGCGUUGUUCGGAAUUACUGGGCGUAAAGCGUGUGUAGGCGGCUUGGUAAGUCAGAUGUGAAAUCCCUUGGCUCAACUGAGGAAGUGCAUCUGAUACUGUCAAGCUUGAGUCCUGGAGAGGGGUGUGGAAUUCCCGGUGUAGAGGUGAAAUUCGUAGAUAUCGGGAGGAACACCAGUGGCGAAGGCGACACCCUGGAUGGAGACUGACGCUGAGACACGAAAGCGUGGGGAGCAAACAGGAUUAGAUACCCUAGUAGUCC